RNAcentral lists this ribosomal RNA (488 nucleotides) under uncultured bacterium. RNAcentral describes it as "partial 16S ribosomal RNA". It matches the Rfam family "Bacterial small subunit ribosomal RNA", at positions 28 to 507 of the family's 1533-position model. The record is from RNAcentral.
GACGAACGCUGGCGGCGUGCUUAACACAUGCAAGUCGAACGGAAAGGCCCUGCUUUUGUGGGGUGCUCGAGUGGCGAACGGGUGAGUAACACGUGAGUAACAUGCACUUGACUUUGGGAUAAAAUCAGGAAACUGGGGCUAAUAUCGGAUAGGAGCUCCUGCUGCACGGUGGGGGUUGGAAAGUUUCGGCGGUUGGGGCUGGACUAGCGGCGUAUGAGCUAGUUGGUGGGGUAGUGGCUUACCCAGGCUUUGACGGGUAGCCGGCCUGAGAGGGUGAUCGGCCACACUGGAGCUGAGACACGGUCAAGAGUCCUACGGGAGGCCGCAGUAGGGAAUGUGCGGCAAUGGGGGAAAGCCUGACGGAGCGGCGCCGCGUGAGUGAUGAAGGCCUCCGGAUCGUAAAACCCUGUUACGAGGGAAGAACAAAUGUGUAAGUAACUAUGCACGUCUUGACGGUACCUAAUAAGAAAGCCCCGGCUAACUACGUG